RNAcentral lists this ribosomal RNA (496 nucleotides) under uncultured bacterium. RNAcentral describes it as "partial 16S ribosomal RNA". It matches the Rfam family "Bacterial small subunit ribosomal RNA", at positions 28 to 506 of the family's 1533-position model. The record is from RNAcentral.
GAUGAACGCUGGCGGCGUGCCUAAUACAUGCAAGUCGAGCGAACGGACGAGAAGCUUGCUUUUCUGAUGUUAGCGGCGGACGGGUGAGUAACACGUGGAUAACCUACCUAUAAGACUGGGAUAACUUCGGGAAACCGGAGCUAAUACCGGAUAAUAUUUUGAACCGCAUGGUUCAAAAGUGAAAGACGGUCUUGCUGUCACUUAUAGAUGGAUCCGCGCUGCAUUAGCUAGUUGGUAAGGUAACGGCUUACCAAGGCAACGAUGCAUAGCCGACCUGAGAGGGCGAUCGGCCACACGGCAAAGGAGACACGGAGCAGAAUCGUAAGUGAGGCACGAGUAGGGAACCUACGGCAAGGGGCGAUAGCGUAACGGAGGAACGCCGCGAGAGUGAUGAAGGGCUACGCAGCGUAAAUCACUGUGAUCAGAGGAGAGCAUAUGUCUAUGUACCGGUGCAAAUAUUGCGGGAACCGAAGCAGAAGGCCCCGGUUAAUUACGU